UACGUAGGGGGCUAGCGUUGUCCGGAAUCAUUGGGCGUAAAGCGCGCGUAGGCGGCCCGGUAAGUCCGCUGUGAAAGUCAAAGGCUCAACCUUUGAAUGUCAGCGGAUACUGCCAGGCUAGAGUCCGGAAGAGGCGAGUGGAACUCCUGGUGUAGCGGUGAAAUGCGCAGAUAUCAGGAGGAACACCGGUGGCGAAGGCGGGUCUCUGGGCCGAUACUGACGCUGAGGAGCGAAAGCGUGGGGAGCGAACAGG
Molecule: ribosomal RNA, 253 nt
Filed under: uncultured bacterium
Lineage: Bacteria
Description: partial 16S ribosomal RNA
Rfam family: Bacterial small subunit ribosomal RNA
Source: RNAcentral